Molecule: ribosomal RNA, 600 nt
Filed under: uncultured bacterium
Lineage: Bacteria
Description: bacterial SSU rRNA
Rfam family: Bacterial small subunit ribosomal RNA
Source: RNAcentral
CACCGUCAGUGGCGACGGGUGAGUACGCGUGGGACCUACCAUAGUACGGAAUACUGCGGGAAACUGUGGCUAAUACGUAUGUGUCUGAGGGACAAGGAGCAAUCCGCUACCGGAGGGCCCGCGUUGGAUUAGCUAGUUGUGGGUAACGGCCUACCAGCGACGAUCCAUAGCUGGUCUGAGAGGAUGAUCAGCCACACUGGGACUGAGACACGGCCCAACUCCUACGGGAGGCAGCAGUGGGGAAUAUUGCACAAUGGGCGCAAGCCUGAUGCAGCAACGCCGCGUGAGGGAUGACGGCCUUCGGGUUGUAAACCUCUUUUAGCAGGGAAGUNGCGAAAGUGACGGUACCUGCAGAAAAAGCGCCGGCUAACUACGUGCCAGCAGCCGCGGUAAUACGUAGGCGCAAGCGUUAUCCGGAAUUAUUGGGCGUAAAGAGCUCGUAGCGGUUUUGUCGCGUCUGCUGUGAAAAUCCGAGGCUCAACCUCGGGUCUGCAGUGGGUACGGGCAGACUAGAGUGCGGUAGGGGAGAUUGGAAUUCCUGGUGUUAGCGGGUGGAAUUGCGCAGAUUUUCAGGAGGAACCACCGAUGGGCGAAGGGCAG